UCGAAAGUAGCAUUUGACUAUGUCGAAGUAACUAGUCGAGGUGUAAGAGUCGGUUGUAUUCGAUUGAGUCGAAUACAACAUUUUAGUUGUUGUGUCAAUGUUGAAAUGUAAUUUGUAAUUUUGUACUUUGCAUUUUGUAUGUUUUGGACAUCGGCGAAUUUAUAUAGUUUUGAACCUGAGUUUUAAUUGCCUAUUUAAAGACAUUAAAUGAUGUAAAUC
Molecule: long non-coding RNA, 219 nt
Filed under: Lathyrus oleraceus (garden pea)
Lineage: Eukaryota; Viridiplantae; Streptophyta; Magnoliopsida; Fabales; Fabaceae
Description: Pisum sativum (pea) long non-coding RNA (PSAT_LNC022219)
Source: RNAcentral